RNAcentral lists this ribosomal RNA (253 nucleotides) under uncultured bacterium. Its description in RNAcentral is "partial 16S ribosomal RNA". It matches the Rfam family "Bacterial small subunit ribosomal RNA", at positions 524 to 776 of the family's 1533-position model. The record is from RNAcentral.
UACGAAGGGGGCUAGCGUUGCCCGGAAUCACUGGGCGUAAAGCGCACGUAGGCGGCUCUUUAAGUCAGAGGUGAAAUCCUGGAGCUCAACUCCAGAACUGCCUUCGAUACUGGAAGACUCGAGUCCGGGAGAGGUGAGUGGAACUGCGAGUGUAGAGGUGAAAUUCGUAGAUAUUCGCAAGAACACCAGUGGCGAAGGCGGCUCACUGGCCCGGUACUGACGCUGAGGUGCGAAAGCGUGGGGAGCAAACAGG